ACAUGCAAGUCGAGGGGAAACGACAUCGAAAGCUUGCUUUUGAUGGGCGUCGACCGGCGCACGGGUGAGUAACGCGUAUCCAACCUGCCCACCACUUGGGGAUAACCUUGCGAAAGUAAGACUAAUACCCAAUGAUAUCUCUAGAAGACAUCUGAAAGAGAUUAAAGAUUUACCGGUGAUGGAUGGGGAUGCGUCUGAUUAGCUUGUUGGCGGGGUAACGGCCCACCAAGGCAACGAUCAGUAGGGGUUCUGAGAGGAAGGUCCCCCACAUUGGAACUGAGACACGGUCCAAACUCCUACGGGAGGCAGCAGUGAGGAAUAUUGGUCAAUGGACGAGAGUCUGAACCAGCCAAGUAGCGUGCAGGAUGACGGCCCUAUGGGUUGUAAACUGCUUUUAUAAGGGAAUAAAGUGAGUCUCGUGAGACUUUUUGCAUGUACCUUAUGAAUAAGGACCGGCUAAUUCCGUGCCAGCAGCCGCGGUAAUACGGAAGGUCCGGGCGUUAUCCGGAUUUAUUGGGUUUAAAGGGAGCGUAGGCCGGAGAUUAAGCGUGUUGUGAAAUGUAGAUGCUCAACAUCUGCACUGCAGCGCGAACUGGUUUCCUUGAGUACGCACAAAGUGGGCGGAAUUCGUGGUGUAGCGGUGAAAUGCUUAGAUAUCACGAAGAACUCCGAUUGCGAAGGCAGCUCACUGGAGCGCAACUGACGCUGAAGCUCGAAAGUGCGGGUAUCGAACAGGAUUAGAUACCCUGGUAGUCCGCACGGUAAACGAUGGAUGCCCGCUGUUGGUCUGAAUAGGUCAGCGGCCAAGCGAAAGCAUUAAGCAUCCCACCUGGGGAGUACGCCGGCAACGGUGAAACUCAAAGGAAUUGACGGGGGCCCGCACAAGCGGAGGAACAUGUGGUUUAAUUCGAUGAUACGCGAGGAACCUUACCCGGGCUUGAA
RNAcentral lists this ribosomal RNA (942 nucleotides) under uncultured bacterium. RNAcentral's name for it is "bacterial SSU rRNA". It matches the Rfam family "Bacterial small subunit ribosomal RNA", at positions 53 to 985 of the family's 1533-position model. The record is from RNAcentral.